RNAcentral lists this ribosomal RNA (898 nucleotides) under Mycobacterium sp. enrichment culture clone GE10096biofCoQ. Its description in RNAcentral is "bacterial SSU rRNA". It matches the Rfam family "Bacterial small subunit ribosomal RNA", at positions 54 to 975 of the family's 1533-position model. Lineage: Bacteria; Bacillati; Actinomycetota; Actinomycetes; Mycobacteriales; Mycobacteriaceae. The record is from RNAcentral.
CAUGCAAGUCGAACGGACCCUUUGGGGUUAGUGGCGAACGGGUGAGUAACACGUGGGUGAUCUGCCCUGCACUUUGGGAUAAGCCUGGGAAACUGGGUCUAAUACCGGAUAGGACUACGCACUGCAUGGUGUGUGGUGGAAAGCUUUUGCGGUGUGGGAUGGGCCCGCGGCCUAUCAGCUUGUUGGUGGGGUGAUGGCCUACCAAGGCGACGACGGGUAGCCGGCCUGAGAGGGUGACCGGCCACACUGGGACUGAGAUACGGCCCAGACUCCUACGGGAGGCAGCAGUGGGGAAUAUUGCACAAUGGGCGCAAGCCUGAUGCAGCGACGCCGCGUGAGGGAUGACGGCCUUCGGGUUGUAAACCUCUUUCGCCAGGGACGAAGCGCAUGUGACGGUACCUGGAGAAGAAGGACCGGCCAACUACGUGCCAGCAGCCGCGGUAAUACGUAGGGUCCGAGCGUUGUCCGGAAUUACUGGGCGUAAAGAGCUCGUAGGUGGUUUGUCGCGUUGUUCGUGAAAACUCACAGCUUAACUGUGGGCGUGCGGGCGAUACGGGCAGACUGGAGUACUGCAGGGGAGACUGGAAUUCCUGGUGUAGCGGUGGAAUGCGCAGAUAUCAGGAGGAACACCGGUGGCGAAGGCGGGUCUCUGGGCAGUAACUGACGCUGAGGAGCGAAAGCGUGGGGAGCGAACAGGAUUAGAUACCCUGGUAGUCCACGCCGUAAACGGUGGGUACUAGGUGUGGGUUUCCUUCCUUGGGAUCCGUGCCGUAGCUAACGCAUUAAGUACCCCGCCUGGGGAGUACGGCCGCAAGGCUAAAACUCAAAGGAAUUGACGGGGGCCCGCACAAGCGGCGGAGCAUGUGGAUUAAUUCGAUGCAACGCGAAGAACCUUACC